Molecule: long non-coding RNA, 1790 nt
Organism: Piliocolobus tephrosceles (Ugandan red Colobus)
Lineage: Eukaryota; Metazoa; Chordata; Mammalia; Primates; Cercopithecidae
Source: Ensembl
AGAGAUUAUAAUAAUAGUAAUUUAGUUAGGAAUAAUAAUGAUGUUUAUAAUAGUAUGUCAGGCGGAGUAGGUUAUUUUCACCCAAACAUUUACAAUAGUUAUAACAAUAACAAUAUAAAUAAUAAUAAUUUGUAUAAUAAUUAUAUGUAUCAAGAUAAUAGUGGUACAAUUAUGAAUACAGUAAAUACUAUGCAAAUGAAUAGUAAUAAAAAAAAAAAUGACCGAUAUUAUAAUGAUGAUUUGAAAAGAUAUUAUGUUGAUAAUAAUUUGAAUGAUAAAAAUGUAUAUACAAAUACUAUAACAAAUGGUAGUGAUUUUAAGAGUGGUUAUGGGAUUGGAUUAAAUACAGGAUAUAAUAAUAGUAAUAUAAUUAAUACUAGUAUUGGGACAAAUAAUAGUAAUUAUCGUUAUCAUCACAACUAUCAUCAUUAUUCCCAUUAUCAUCACAAUAAUAAUAAUAAUAUGAACAAUAACAAUAAUAGUAGAAUGGGGAAACAUUAUAAAGACAUAGAUUAUAAAAUAGUUUCUAAUGGAAUGACUAGUGCUAAUAAUAAUUUAAAUAACACGAGUAGACAUACUGUUGUUAGUGAUGAAAAAAAUGAUGAAGUAGGUAGCAGUUUUAGUAGCACUAAUAGUACUAUUACUAGCAACAAUGAUAACAAUAGUAAUAAUAACAAUAAUAACAAUAAUAACAAUAGUAAUAAUAAUAGUGGAAACAAAAAUAGCAGGAGCCGAAGUAGCAGUAACUGUAAUACGAAACAAUACAACAGGAAUGAUGAUAAUGGAAAUAAUAAUGACACUAGUGGUAGUGGAAGUAAUGGCAAUAGUAAUAAUAAUAGUAGUAAUAAUAAUAGUAGUAACAGCAGUAACAACAGUAACAACAACAGUACCAACAACAGUACCAACAACAGUACCAACAGCAGUAAUGGUAACAGCAAAAACAGCAGUUUUGGUAGCUCAAAUAAUAACAAGGGAAAUAUAAAAACUAAUGAAUAUAACAAAAAUACCAAAUUAAUUAAUAAUAAACAUAACAAGAAAGAUUUAAGUGUUUAUAAGAAUGAUAAUAAUAACCACCCAAUGAAAAGCGAUUUAAAACCAUUUGAAAAAAGAAAUUCCAGGAUUUAUUUUAGUAAUAAAAAAAGUGUAUUAAAGAAUGUAGAAAAAAGAGUAGUAGGUAAUGACACAGUCAAUAAACUACAUGAAGGAGAAAACCAAAAAAUAAACACUUCUAUUAAUGGUUAUGUCAACAAUGUUAAUGAUAAUAAUGAUGUAAAAAAUGAAGAUAUACAUAAAGAUAAAGAAGUGGUUGUUAGUAUGAAUAAAAUGAAAAAAGAAGAAGUGCAGGGAGUAGGAGUUGUUGAAUCAGCAAAUACGGAAGUAAUAGCAGAAGUGUAUAAAGCUGAGAAAAAUGUUAAUAACAAUUUGGUACAUAAUAAUGAUAACAUUUCCCAUAGUGAUAACAUAGAAGAGAAGAAACAAGUAGGAACUGACACGUGUCAUUACAGUAAUGGUCAUAACAAUGGUCAUAAUAAUGAUUAUAACGCAACUGUAGAAAACCAUAAUAACUAUAACAUAGAAAAAAAAAAUAAAAGAGAUAAUUAUACAAAUAAAUAUGAUAACAUGUUGAAUAAUGAUAAUAGCUUAAGUAGUAGUAAGGAUUAUUAUAAAUUCCCUUUAUGGAAUAAUAAUACGAACAGAAAAAAUACUUAUAAUAGGUAUUAUAACAGUAAUAGUAAUGGUAAUAGUGGUAGUAAUAAUAAUACAGUCAACUAUGAUGAAAAAAAAAGUUU